GUUUAGAGACCAAAGUUGGUCGCUAAUUAGCGACCAACUUUGGUCCCUAAAUAAAAGGGACCAUCAAUAUAGCUACCAGGCCCCUGUGGUCGCUUUUUAGCCCAAUAGCAACCAAUUCUGGUCGCUUUUUGCGAUCGUUUUUCCCCGGAUUUCUAAUAGUGUCUGCCUCCAAUGCAAGGUGUGCCUAGCACAAGUCGGCCCCGCCAUCUAGAGGGUGGUCGUUCGCCUUCGUUUUUCUAUACGAAGGCACGUCUUCCUCUCACUCUUGAGCACCGUAUUAGCCUCAGAAAACCCAAGAUCUUUAUGAGUGGUGUUUUUAUGCUGUCUAGCCACGGAGGCAAUAACAUUCUUACCAAUACUGACGAUGACAACAACCUGGGUUAGUUGAUCCCAAUUUUUGACAUUAUCCUAUAAAGACAAAGACUAUAUUCGAAGUCUUAGAACGACACUGUCCAAUACUGGGCCUGAGGUCGUCAUCCCCGAUCUACUUGUCUAGAUAUAGGUCUUUCUAGAUCUCCUUGGACUGAACGUUCCGGAAGACCCGUCCUAGUGGCCAAAAUCACCGUGUGGAAGCCCAAGCCUCAGGGGCUUCUAACCAAGAAAGUCCCUCACGGGGUGACUAAGCCCCUGAUGCUCGGGGAUAUGGCUAAGGGGAUCAAGAAGAGGCCCGACUCUUCUACUGCUCGCUUUGCUGCCCUUUCCAAGAGACGAAAGACAAAAAAGUUGAAACAACCCGAUUCUGCUGAGGGGGAUGAUGUAUUGGUCCAGAGGGUGAGGACCCAAGAAGUUCGUUCUCGCCUCGUGUAUGAAGGGGAUAACGCCAUGACUAAUAACACCAUGAUCGAUGCGGGAGACAGCGAGGACGUAGCUCCCGCUACUACUAUCACGACCUUAUCUUCGAAGUUUGACCUAAUAAGGUGGAGAUCCCUACCUUGAUCGAUCCUUCGACUGCCGAUUGAGACUGAGUAAAUUUCGCACUGGAUACUUAGAGUUCCGAACAAUCGGCAUCCCCAUUCCCUCUGUGCUCUCCCCAAAUAUUUCUACACCAGAACAGGGAGGGCCUUCAUCUGACUGGGUAUGUAGCUUGUCGAUCUCCGGUCCCUUGAGAGGACAUGUUCUCUUGCUAUGCUGGUCCAGCGUACCAUCCAAAUAGCAGGCCCUUCUAGGAUUGAAUACCAAGAGCAUUUGAGCGAGAUGUCGACUGAAGAUCUCCUGAACAAGUCGGUGCACACUACACUGAAGAUCCACUCAUCUUCUACUAUGAUUCUCCGUAAUUAUCACGCUGAGAAGGCAAAAUGGCUUAAGGGGAUGGAGGAGCUAAAGUCUUGUCUAUUAGCUCGUGAGCAAGAACUUCUCGCAGAGAAGUAAGAGACAGAGGCCCGCGGACGACAGCUUGCUGAGGCUUGGGAAGCCAUUUCCACAAAGAAGCUACAUGCUCUAGAAUUCAAGGGCAAGCUUGCUACCUCAAUCGCUCAUGAUUGUGAUCUCUUUGGCAAGGUCCAAUCUCAUGAGCUAAAAGAUUGUCUCCAGGAGCAGCGACAAGCUUUUCUUACAGAGGAGCUAAGCCGGCUCUAAGGAAGGCCCAAAAGCCUCAAGUUCGAGCUGCAAGCUUCCGCUACCCGAGAAAUGAAUUUUAAGCUCAGCUCAAAUCUCGAUAGGAGGAUCUUCUGUUAAAAAAUGCCCGGGAAGUAAAAAUGGCUAAUGCUGACGCCGAAAAAGGAGAUCUUCUAAGUACUACAAGCCAGCUGAGCGCACGGAGGGUGGCACUGUAGGACGUUUAUCUUUAACGCCGUAGAUCCUGCUUAGAGGCUUAAGGAGGUCCGAGUCCUAUAAGUCAAUGCCUUGGCCGCCUUGGAACCCUACCAGAGUUCUUCGAAGGGCGAUCUUGAUUUGGAGAGCUCAUCCGGCAAGAAAAGCAACACUAUUAAAGAAAUAGUGUUCGGCCACGUUCUCAUCUCUCUGAUCUAGGCCCUUCAAUAACUGCCCAUCAACCUCCGCAGGCACUUUCGGUCACUCCUAGUUAUAUCGAGUUUGCUUAGUCCUCCGUGGAUGUCUGUAUUUGUAUAUUUUUUGUUUGUAUCUUUGGGUGCCCGGGUCAGACGUUUUAGACCCCUAAUGCACAAAUAAUGUUUGCUCCCAUUAAAUAAAAUUCAAAAUUUUCUCGGU
Nicotiana tabacum (common tobacco) is the source of this 2166-nucleotide long non-coding RNA. RefSeq lists it as uncharacterized. Lineage: Eukaryota; Viridiplantae; Streptophyta; Magnoliopsida; Solanales; Solanaceae. The record is from RefSeq and is a predicted model, not a curated record.